Transfer RNA from Glarea lozoyensis ATCC 20868, 110 nucleotides. It matches the Rfam family "tRNA". From Rfam's summary of the family: Transfer RNA (tRNA) molecules are approximately 80 nucleotides in length. Their secondary structure includes four short double-helical elements and three loops (D, anti-codon, and T loops). Lineage: Eukaryota; Fungi; Ascomycota; Leotiomycetes; Helotiales; Helotiaceae. The record is from Rfam.
GGAGACGUGGCCGAGUGGUUAUGGCGGUAGACUCAAGCCUAGCUUAGCAAACUCAGUUUGUUGGUAUUCUACUGGAGAGAUCCGCAGGGGUUCGAAUCCCCUCGUCUUCA